This 200-nucleotide ribosomal RNA is filed under the name uncultured bacterium. RNAcentral's name for it is "partial 16S ribosomal RNA". It matches the Rfam family "Bacterial small subunit ribosomal RNA", at positions 524 to 723 of the family's 1533-position model. The record is from RNAcentral.
UACGUAGGUGGCAAGCGUUGUCCGGAUUUAUUGGGUUUAAAGGGUGUGUAGGCGGCCUUGUAAGUCAGUGCUGAAAUAUCCCGGCUUAACCGGGAGGGUGGCAUUGAUACUGCAGGGCUUGAGUAAAGUUGAGGUUGGCGGAAUUGACGGUGUAGCGGUGAAAUGCUUAGAUAUCGUCAAGAACACCGAUAGUGAAGACA